AAUUCCCCGGCAUUUUGCAGUGGAAAAUUUUCAUGGAAUGGAAUAUCUGUAACCACAAUUGCGUAAUAAUAUGUAAUAUUGUGAGAGGGCGGCCAAUUUGAUAGGUCGUCUUCGAUAUAACAAAAAUUUUACAAUGGUGAAGUAAGUAUCUUUUUUGAUUAAAUUGAAUAAUGUUGAAAGCGUAUCGAGCGAUAAAGUAACGCCGGACAGGCGUCUAGUCGUUACGUUAAAAUGUACUUUAGAAGGAAAAAAAUCGAUCGUUCCGUUUCGGAACGGUGAAUAUAUGAAGGAUAUUAAUCGUUUUAAUACAGUUAAGGAAAAUUUGUAACUAUAAAACCUAGACAUAAAAAAAUAGGAGGACAGACAAGGAGAGAAAAGGGCAGACUGUGAAUUAUAUAGACAUAUUGUUGUUAUGGCUGUUUAUUUGUCGUCAUUAGAAAAACGGUUUAUUAUUACCGUCGUUAUCCCUUUCAAUACUAUAGAUAAACUUUAAAAUAGGGAGUAGUUAAAGAAAAUAAUGAAUUUUUAAGAAAAGGGGAGGGGAGAAAAAAAUUCUUACGUUUAAUUCUCCUUACAAAAAAAAAUUUUGCGUCAGAAUGUAGGCCUAAUUCAUCAGAGUAAAAAAAACGAGCUCGGCUUGUUUCGUCGACACGUUUUAAAAAGCUUAUAACAUAUUCGAUCCUCGCUUUUGAACACCAAAAAUAUAUACAUUCCGUUUGUAGGCUUACAUUAUUUAGUAAAUUUUGUUGCAAGGUUUUCAAUUGUAUACCUAAUUCUGUACGAGUCGUUGGAAUCUAAAGAGUCUCUUCUAUAAAUUAUAGGCUGUUGAUGUUAAAAAUCGUUUGUUUACUUAAAUGUGAAUUUUCAACGUGUAUUUUUUUUCUUUAAAAAGAUCUUCUUCCGGUAUUCAAUAUGCUGAAGGAGGUGAAAAAAAUGGCAGUUGGAGGGGUGAGAAGCACUUUAAACAAGUAACGAUUAUUGACAGAACAAUGGAGAAUUGUGAACGUCAUAAUUGUAGUAGAAAGCCGGCUCAAAGCCUUAGCUUUCAUGAAUCGUGGGACAGAACUUUGCCGAAUUCAUCUAAAUCGAAAGACAGUGCUGAAAAUAGUAGUACAAUACAAAAUGAACAAAAGGAAACUAUUAAUCAGUUAAUAUGAAACACUCUACUCCGGUACACAACUAACAUGCAUAUCUUUUUCAGAGUAGAAGAAAGCAUCGAAAACCCAUUCAAGAGCGACGGAGAAUUAUCGAAAAUAGCUGAUUAUAUUAUGGAACAUUCGACGAUAUGUCGAACAAGCGUUAACAUAGCAGAUCCGGAUGAGAGUAGGGUGAGUGAGAUUCCUGCAACUUCAGUUGAAGAACCUGCUUUACAAGCCGCUCAACACCUUGUUCAACAAUCGGCUCCAAAAGCAUCCCCCCAGCAAGUUGAAGUAAAACUCUUAAAAAUUGAGAGCAACGACGGACCGCAAUCUGCGGAACGUUUACCCCCAAAAGGGAAAUGCUGCUCUCUUCAGUGAUAAAUUUGCUUAUAAUUAUAUACAAUUUUUUCUUCUCCCUGACAAACUAUGAUCAAAGCAUAAUUGACGCUGGUAUUAUAUGCUUCUAAAGUAUAUACUGUAUAGGAAAACAAAUAUAUAGCUAUAAAUAUACAUUUAUGUUUCUAAAUAUAUGCAUAAAUUUCUAUAUAUAUAUACACCUUACAUUAAUAGUUUGUCAAUAAAUCCUUCUUACUCCCUCACUAGUAUUAUGAUUAUUAUUAUUCAAUUGAGCGAUUUUGCUAUUUGUUUAGCUGCUUUGUUUUUUCCUUAAAAUAUAAAUUGUAUGUAUUUGAAUGCUUAAUUUUAGCCUGCUGAAAGUUAAUGUAACAGAUUCAGACUGGAUUGUGUCGUAGGCCAACUA
RNAcentral lists this unclassified non-coding RNA (1899 nucleotides) under Dimorphilus gyrociliatus. Its description in RNAcentral is "dgyrCDS8431". The record is from RNAcentral. Lineage: Eukaryota; Metazoa; Annelida; Polychaeta; Dinophilidae.